RNAcentral lists this ribosomal RNA (256 nucleotides) under uncultured bacterium. Its description in RNAcentral is "partial 16S ribosomal RNA". It matches the Rfam family "Bacterial small subunit ribosomal RNA", at positions 521 to 776 of the family's 1533-position model. The record is from RNAcentral.
UAAUACGGAGGGUGCGAGCGUUAAUCGGAAUUACUGGGCGUAAAGAGUGCGUAGGUGGUUGGAUAAGUUAUCUGUGAAAUCCCUGGGCUUAACCUGGGCAGGUCAGAUGAUACUGUUUAACUCGAGUAUGGGAGAGGGUAGUGGAAUUUCCGGUGUAGCGGUGAAAUGCGUAGAGAUCGGAAGGAACACCAGUGGCGAAGGCGGCUACCUGGCCUAAUACUGACACUGAGGCACGAAAGCGUGGGGAGCAAACAGG